GUAGGUGGCGAGCGUUGUCCGGAUUUACUGGGCGUAAAGCGCGUGUAGGUGGUCUGGAAAGUCCGGGGUGAAAUCUUGCGGCUCAACUGCAAGAGGUCCUUGGAUACUUCCAGACUCGAGGGAGGCAGAGGAAGGUGGAAUUCCCGGUGUAGUGGUGAAAUGCGUAGAUAUCGGGAGGAACACCAGUGGCGAAGGCGGCCUUCUGGGCCUUUCCUGACGCUGAGGCGCGAAAGCGUGGGUAGCAAACCGGAUUAGAUACCCGGGUAGUCCACGCCCUAAACGAUGAACACUAGGUGUGGGGGGUAUCGACCCCCUCCGUGCCGAAGCUAACGCGAUAAGUGUUCCGCCUGGGGACUACGGCCGCAAGGCUAAA
This 373-nucleotide ribosomal RNA is filed under the name uncultured bacterium. RNAcentral describes it as "bacterial SSU rRNA". It matches the Rfam family "Bacterial small subunit ribosomal RNA", at positions 527 to 898 of the family's 1533-position model. The record is from RNAcentral.